Molecule: ribosomal RNA, 396 nt
Filed under: uncultured bacterium
Lineage: Bacteria
Description: bacterial SSU rRNA
Rfam family: Bacterial small subunit ribosomal RNA
Source: RNAcentral
GAUGAACGCUGGCGGCGUGCCUAACACAUGCAAGUCGAACGAAGCACUUCGAUUUCUUCGGAAUGAAAAGUGACUGAGUGGCGGACGGGUGAGUAACGCGUGGGUAACCUGCCUCAUACAGGGGGAUAACAGUUAGAAAUGGCUGCUAAUACCGCAUAAGCGCACAGUACCGCAUGGUAUCGUGUGAAAAACUCCGGUGGUAUGAGAUGGACCCGCGUCUGAUUAGCUAGUUGGUAAGGUAACGGCUUACCAAGGCGACGAUCAGUAGCCGGCCUGAGAGGGUGAUCGGCCACAUUGGGACUGAGACACGGCCCAAAAUCCUACGGGAGCAGCAGUGGGAAUAUGCACAAUGGGGGGAAAACCCUGAUGCAGCAACGCCGCGUGAAGGAUGACGUA